AAGUCGUAACAAGGUUUCCGUAGGUGAACCUGCGGAAGGAUCAUUAAUGUACUAUUGACUGGCUGUAUAGCUGGUCAUUAGAUGUGUGAACUCAAAAACGCCUUCCUGGAAGGGCUGGGCCUGCUGUUGACCAUGGCUUUUAGCCAGUGCUCGUAAGGGCACAAGUGAGGCAGUGUCCGCGCCAGGGUUUUUAACGAAUAUAGCAGGGUAUGUAUAAAUGAAUACAACUUUUAGCGAUGGAUCUCUUGGCUCUC
This 254-nucleotide unclassified non-coding RNA is filed under the name fungal sp. RNAcentral describes it as "partial internal transcribed spacer region". The stretch from base 1 to 46 matches the Rfam family "Eukaryotic small subunit ribosomal RNA", at positions 1786 to 1831 of the family's 1831-position model. Lineage: Eukaryota; Fungi. The record is from RNAcentral.